GAGAGAUGGUGCUGACGCGUGUCAUAUUCGCCCAGCAAUUCCUUUUUUUGGUUAUUUUCAUUUCCAUCUUUAUUUAUCUCAUUUUACAAUUUUUUACUUCUAUAAUGAAAAGUGCAUAUUCUUUGAAUUUUACUUCCUACAAUACAUUUGCGUGCACACCUUUUUUUUGUAUUUAUUUAUUUAUGAUCUAGACUUAUGAUCCAUGCUCAUAUGACACUACUAUAUAUGAGUUACAAUAAUGUUCGUCCAUCGCGAUAAAAAAAAAAAAAACUCAAAACCGUUAAUUAAAGAAGCGUAACGACGUCCAAAGACACCACCGAUGUCGAGAUCGAGACCGGCAAGGUCAGGUUUUUGCUAGCACCCCACGCACCGCCCAUGUGCAAAAGAUAGUCUGUGUCACCGGUAAGGCUUUUGCUUGGUGAAUUUCGCACAAGGGCACUUGGAUGCGAAGGUCAUUGACGUGCUUCCUAUAUAGCGCCGCCAUGACUCCAAGUGCCCGGCUUCCUCCUCCACGCGGCAACGUGUACCACCAUCACCUACCUUGAGGUAUUAGUGCCAAGAAAAAGUUGUCGACGACCCUGCCCCCAUCUGCUAACUUAGAUCGAUGAUCCCAACUUUUCACUCUGACAUUAUACUACUCUAGUUCGGCAUCCGCAGUGAUGCUAACCAUUCCCUCCAUUUUAAAUUAUAAGACAUUUCAAUAAUAUUGUAGAGUAAAAGUAGUUCAAGUUUGACCAAAAUUAUAAAGAGAAUAUUACUAGUUGGUAUAGAAAAUAUUAUUAUUCUAUUACAUAAAUUUUGGUCAAAUUUGAGAUGUUUUGACUUUCUAAGAUUCUUAAUUUGGAAUGAAGAGAGUACGUAGUUAGCUUACGUGGAGAUGAGAGAAAAAAAACAAAGACUAUUUUAUACAAUCUUAUUUUAUAUGUACUAUUGAACUCACAUGUCAAUCUCUCACAUAGUCACAUUCUUGGACUGCAUGAAAUAAUUAGGCUAUCCGAUUUAAACCCACGCCUAACCAUUCGUGAUGAGCUCAAUCUUAAAAACCCACUCAAUCCACCAACUAGAUUAUUCCAACCACACCAAUCCAGUCCGCUGUGCUAUGUGAACCCAAGCUCGUGUGCGGGCUGAGCUUGCAGCCAACAAGCAAACACAUUGCUGUAUUUUUGGACUAAGCAGAAGGCAGCAGCAGCCUAGUCGAUACAUCCGGGGUCCGUGGCCUGUGGGCUUCAUGAUGGCUUGGAAUCGGAUCAGAACCCAUGGCCUGCCCGUGCCGUCGUAACCUCAAGAGGAAGAGGACGAGCAAUGAGGCGACGACAUCGUCAGAGGGUGGUGACCACGUCGACGUCGAUGACCGGAUGAAGAGGAAAAGUAAGAAGCCCGAGGCAGCGGAAGAGGAGGCCCAGCCAGCGGUCUGCGCCGGGAAGAAGAAGACCGACGAGAAGAGGAAGAGGGUGGUUACUGAGAGGCUUCCACUACCGCACAUUAGCUUUUUAAGGGCGGCUUUAGGGGCGGUUUGGCCAGCCGCCCCUACCAAAAUGUUUUCUAUAAAUGCUUUAAUUUUAGGGGCGGUUAAUAUUGAGUUGUCUUUAAAAAAAUAUUUUCAAAAUCGCAAUUUCAGACUUUAAAGAAAUACCAAAAUAUUGAAAAAAAUAAUAAUUUUAAGGAGGGCAUAUCACCAUUGAGUACGCAGUGGCAGCAGCUCGCUAAGGCACGAUCUUGUCCUCACGCAUUAGGCCUUGUUUAGAUGCGAAUUUUUUUUAGAUUUCGCUACUUAGCAUUUUCGUUUGUUUGUGGUAAAUAUUGUCUAAUCAUAGACUAACUAGGGUCAAAAGAUUUGUCUCGCGAUUUACAGGCAAACUGUGUAAUUAGUUUUUGUUUUCGUUUAUAUUUAGUGCUUAAUGCAUGUUCCGUAAGAUUCGAUAUGACGGGGAAUCUUGAAAACUUUUUUGAUUUUGGUGGAAACUAAACAAGGCCUUACUCUCACUACCACCCCACCACUAGCACAUGUGUCCAUAAUCUAUUUUGGUUCCUCAUAAAUUAUGCUCAAUUGAGUGUAAAUUGACUUUUUGAGGCCCUAAAUAAAUUUAAAUGAAAAACUUGUCAACUAUAAAGUUUCAUAAUUUUUUGAGAUCUACAACUUCUAUUUAGGUAGUUUCUCGAUCCGAGAUCAUUUAUAAAAUUUGAAUUUGAAAUUUUAAAAAUUCAAACAUAGUUUUGCAUGACAAAAUGAUUUCAAAUCAAAACGUUGUCAACUACAAAGUUUCAUAACUUUUUGAGAUCUACAACUUUUAUUUAUGUAGUUUCACCAUCCGAGGUAGUUUACAAAAUGUGAAUUUUCAAAUUUAAAACAUUCAAACAUACUUUUGUGUGAUAAAGUUUCAAAUCAAAAAGUUGUCAACUACAAAGUUUCAGAACAUUUUGAGAUCUAUAAUUGUUAUUUUGGUUGUUUUGUCAUCCGAGGUCAUUUGAAAAAUUCAAAUUUAAAAAUUUAAAAAUUCAAAGGUAGUUUUGUAUGAUAAAAUGAUCUCAAAUCAAAAAGUUACCAGCUAUAAAAUUUCAUAAUUUCUCAAGAUUUAGAAUUUUAUUUUGAUCAUUUGUUUAUCCAACACAGUGGUAGUAACAUUGCUCACAAAUCUUAGAUAUCUUAUAUAUCUCUGUUGUAGUUUCAUAAACACUACAAGCGAGAUAUAAGAUUUAUGAAUAAUGUUAAUUUUAUUUUAUAUAUGAAAAAAUGACUAAAACAAAAAUUAUACAUCUUGAUAAGUUAUACAACUUUUAUUCAUGACUUAUUUAGCCGAAAACGUUUUAUAUCCUCGGCUAGCUACCGGAUGCACAGUGAGUGGUAGCAGCCGUGCGGAAGGAUUAAAAAAUGGCCGCAUGUAACUAAGUCAACAAGAAAUCAAGAAUCGAUUUUUUACUUUUUUUUAGCAAAUCAGAAUUUUUAUUACUUACGUACCUACGAGUUAGAGUUAAAGGUCAAACCGUGUAAAUGAGGGGAGAUUUAUAUUUUUAUCAUUAUAAAGAAUGUCGUUCAAACGAAUACCAUUUUUAAAAUGUUUGUGCCUGUGCGUGUGCUCGUGCCUGGCACUACAGGAAAAUCCUACUUUGCCGAGAGCCGUGAAACAGACGCUCGGCAAAGACGGACCUUUGCCGAGCGCCAGGUCCGACGCUCGGCAAAAGCCUCUUUGCCGAGGGCCAAAAGCUGGCUGUCGGCAAAGGCCUCGUUUGCCGAGAGUAGCGCGCUCGGCAAAGAAGAGCUCUCGGCAAAGUCCCUGGCCGUCUAACGGCAGCAGCUGCCGUCCCCUUUGCCGAGCACCAAAAGUUAGGCACUCGGCAAAGGAUGGUUCUUUGCCGAGUGACAGCUUGCAGGGCCCUCGGCAAAUCCUUCUUUGCCGAGUGUCCUAUCUGGCUCUCGUCAAAGCUUUUUUAUUUUUUGUUUUUUCGAUCUGAGUUUUUUUUGAAGCUUUUUGACACUGUUUCAAACUCUAUUUUAAAGUUUGAGAGAACUUUGACUUUUUUUUGCUAUAUUUGACUGAUUUAAUUUGUUUCUUUGUGUUUUUCCGGAUAAUUUAAAUUUGAACUACACGUACAUGAAAUAUCGCAACGCAGUGUUUCAAAAAAUGAUAUUCAUGGUAUUAUGUAUAUUCUGAGUCCGUAUCUAGGACCUCACACGAAUGCCGACAGCGGUUAUUUAAAAUCAUAUUUCUGGCGGACCGGCUGCUCGUGCCUGUGCCUGUGCCUGUGCCUGGAGCCACUAAUGCCCGUGCUCGCAAACAGGAGUGAGCGCCACCACCGGGUGCGGCGGAGCUGCUUGUGUUGGAGGUAGAAGAUGAAGCUCACAAAUGGGACCCACCUUACAGUGAGAGGAGCUGCGAGACCUGGCUGUCGGAGAGCGAGAGAGAGAAAAGCAAGUAGGGGUAGGAUGGACUUUUGACAUGCCCUGACCGACGUGUCAAGCUAGUGUGACGUGCCACAUAUGCAAAGAUAGAAAUUUUGAUGUUCAAACUUCUCUCGGCAAUUUUGUAAUUGCCAUUCUAAGGCCUUGUUUAGUUUUAAAAAAUUUUACAAAUUUUUUUUCAGAUUUUAUAUCACAUCGAAUCUUUGCGACAUAUCUAUGAAACAUUAAAUAUAGAUAAAAGAAAUAAAUAUAAUUAAUUACACCUGUAAUUUGCGAGACAAAUUUUUUGAAUCUAGUUAGUCCAUAAUUGGACAAUAUUUGUUAAAUACAAAGAAAGAUGCUACAUUGUCCAUUUUAAAAAAAAAAAUGGAAUAAGGAUGAUAGUCGGAUGAUUGGCAAUGGUAAAUAUGUAAAUUUCUGUAUCCGAUUCCGAUAGCGCCUAGGGUUGCCCGGCAGAGCCUCUGCGGGGCAAUAUAUGCAUACUUUAUAUACGUAUAUGUCUCUCACUCACCUUCCGUGUCCAAAGCCGCCGACAGUCGCCGCAUCCCCGCAAUCCAGAUAUAGAUCCCCUUUUUGCUUCGAGACGAGAGGUCGGGGAGAGAGGUUAGGACUCGAUCGAUCGCGGCUGCUACGAUGGCGGGCAGUGACCGAGAUCUCAAGAUUGAGGCUGCUGCGAUUGGGGAUGGUGUCCGCGAUCUCAUGAUUGAGGCUGCUGCGAUGAGGGGAGGUUUCAAUAUGGGGCCUGCUGCGGUGGGGGGAGGUGACCGAGGUCUCAAGAUGAAGAAGAAGCCGAUACGACCGGAGGAGGGUGGGAUCUUGAGGCUGAAGAAGGAGGCGAAGGCGGCGUGGGAUCACUGGUUCCUGACUCGCAGGAAGUUGAGGAAGGCCGCGCAGCCGCAGGAGGAGGACACGCAGGCACCCAGGGUGGGGAAUAAGAGGAAGAAGGUUGUCAAGAUCAAGCUGCCUAAGGAGUACGUCGAUCACAUGGCCGCAUGUCCCUUCACGAUCUGCGCAGACUUCUCUGACGAGGAGCUUGCCCGGCGUACCCCAGAGUUCCGCGAAAUCUACGCUGCUGGGAGGUUUCUCGAGACCAAGAAUCGUGAGUACUGGAAUGCCCUUAUCGCUCAGUACAAUGAAUUGGGCUAUGCUGAGGAUGAGAAUGAGGUCACGGAUGAUGAUGAUGAUGAUGAGGAGGAGGAGGAGGUGGUGAAGAAUUAGCGCAGGAAGCAAAAAGGGUUCUAUAGUUUAUAUAUAAUUUAAGUAGUCUGUGACUCUCUGUUCGUGCAAGAUAUAGCCUAAGUUAAGAGCAGUGUUGUUUUCUGUGUGACUCACCAUAAGUGUCUGCUCAUUACUAUGAUGUAAUCAUCACUGUGGUGUUAUUUAUAUUCCCAGUGUUAUUAUCACACCUUGCAAUUUGUGAAUUCGUGUAUGCUAGAAUGCUGGUUUAUAAUUCUUGCUGUUAUACUCCUAUAUUUUGCUCUUAGCUGUCUAGUAAUAUUUUAUUUGGUAGUAUGUCUAGCUCUGAACAAUUUUCUGUUUAGUCACUCAAAGCAAAAGCAUAUAAAUGAUAAGAAAUGCAUGGCAGCUCAGCUACUAAGUAUUGCAACUGUGUUAACUGACCAUAGGGAUUUUGCUGGCCAAGCUAAUCCAACAGACCUGCUACAGAUUUUUUUUUCUUGUUAUAUGUACUUAUUCUGCUGUUUCUGUUGAGU
RNAcentral lists this long non-coding RNA (5610 nucleotides) under Sorghum bicolor (sorghum). RNAcentral describes it as "long non-coding RNA (SBIC_LNC013475)". The record is from RNAcentral. Lineage: Eukaryota; Viridiplantae; Streptophyta; Magnoliopsida; Poales; Poaceae.